RNAcentral lists this long non-coding RNA (335 nucleotides) under Mustela putorius furo (domestic ferret). Its description in RNAcentral is "lncRNA (ENSMPUG00000029477.1)". The record is from RNAcentral. Lineage: Eukaryota; Metazoa; Chordata; Mammalia; Carnivora; Mustelidae.
CGGCGCCCGAGCCCCUGACAGCGCCAUAAAUUGGCGGUGCAAAGCUGAGCGCUUGGUGGUCCCCCGGAGGAAAGAGUCGCCGCCGAGAGCGCGAAAAGACGAGUCCGGGAGCCCGCCAGGGAGCCAGUGGUGUUUUUUCCAGAUCACCUUGUUGGAACUUAGAGUAGCAGAGAUAUUUACACAGAUUUUAUCAGAGAGAGACAAGAUAAGAAAAUCACUAGGUGUGGACUUUUUUUGUCAUGGAAGAUAUACAUUUGAUGCAAAGUAUCUUUUGAAGUAUUUUUUAGUUUAAACCAAAACAGUUUUCGAAGAAAAGCAAUAAUUCCUGUUCAAUC